RNAcentral lists this ribosomal RNA (234 nucleotides) under uncultured bacterium. RNAcentral describes it as "partial 16S ribosomal RNA". It matches the Rfam family "Bacterial small subunit ribosomal RNA", at positions 15 to 237 of the family's 1533-position model. The record is from RNAcentral.
GAUCAUGACUCAGGAUGAACGCUAGCGACAGGCCUAACACAUGCAAGUCGAGGGGCAGCGAAGAGGUAGCAAUACCUUUGUCGGCGACCGGCGCACGGGUGAGUAACACGUAUGCAAUCCACCUGUAACAGGGGGAUAACCCGGAGAAAUCCGGACUAAUACCCCAUAAUAUGGGCUCUCCGCAUGGAGAGCCCAUUAAAAGAGAGCAAUUUUGGUUACAGACGAGCAUGCGCU